UACGUAGGGACCGAGCGUUGUCCGGAUUCAUUGGGCGUAAAGAGCUCGUAGGCGGCUGCUCAAGUCGAAUGUGAAAACUCGAGGCUCAACCUCGAGCCUGCAUUCGAUACUGGGCGGCUAGAGUCUGGUAGGGGGAUCUGGAAUUCCUGGUGUAGCGGUGGAAUGCGCAGAUAUCAGGAGGAACACCGGCGGCGAAGGCGGCGUCCUGGACCAAUACUGACACUGAAACGCGAAAGCCAGGGGAGCAAACGGG
Molecule: ribosomal RNA, 253 nt
Filed under: uncultured bacterium
Lineage: Bacteria
Description: partial 16S ribosomal RNA
Rfam family: Bacterial small subunit ribosomal RNA
Source: RNAcentral